This is a long non-coding RNA of Antechinus flavipes (yellow-footed antechinus), 3758 nucleotides long. RefSeq lists it as uncharacterized. The transcript is spliced from 2 exons. The record is from RefSeq and is a predicted model, not a curated record. NCBI's taxonomy places the organism in Eukaryota, Metazoa, Chordata, Mammalia, Dasyuromorphia, Dasyuridae.
UAGUAGUUACUACUUAACUGAUAAGUUAACUACUUAAGUAGUUACUUGGUUAAGGUCUCAAAGCUGAUAAGUGUCUGAGGAAGAAUUAGCAUUUAAAACAUGCUGAUUACAGGGCCAACCUUCUAGUCACCAUGUUAAUUGUGUAGGAAUUAUGUCACUAUGUAGGAAACCCUGUUCCUUUGAGUACUGGUCAGUGUUUCCUCAUGUUUGGUAAGGAUGGUAGUAUCAUACAUACAAAGUAUACAUAGCACUGUAGUAUACAAAUAUUAGUUGUUAACAUCAUUUCCUUCUGUGUUGUGGGUGGGGCUUUUCUGAGGGUUCCAAACCUAUAAUUUUAUUGAUAUAGGAAAAUACUGGGAGGUAGAAAUUCCCUUUGUUCGUGAAAUUUGGCCUUGUCUCAGUAACUUGGAGCACUACCUGAGGGGCUGAAGAUUUGAAAUUAAAAGAUCUGCUCUAUGAUCAUAAAUUGUAUAUCUCAAUCAUGGAACUUUCUAAUUCUAAAGUCAAUACAUCACCCAUUACCCUACAAUGACUCUCAUUAUCUUUUUAUAGUUGAGAAAAGUGAUAUAAAACAGGAAAAAGCAAAAAACAAAAACAAAACUGCCUUCAUUUGAAGUCAAGAUCACAUUCAAAUAAAGACAUUACUGCACAUUGGAUGGAAUAUUGGCUCUGGAGUUCAAGGCUGAGUAGUCAAUUCUAGAUCUAUGAUCUUAGGACUCCAUAAUAUGGAGAUAUCAGAGGACUUGGGUUCAUAUUUUGCCUCUGAUACUACCUGCAUGAUUUUAGAUAUCAAGUAACUUCUUUGGAUCUCAGUUUGUUCAUCUGUAAGGUUAAAGGUUUGGAUAACUUUUGAGAUCCCUUGUCAGCUCUAAAUCUAUGAGUUUAUGUACUCUAUGAAUUAGCAGGAUUGAUAUGAAUUAGCAUUAUUUUUUUUUUGUCAUUUUUCUUUUGUAUUAAGAUGCUUAGUUCUUAGAAAAGUUUUGGUUCAUAACAAAUCUUUUGGACAAAAAUCCUUGUUCACUUGUUGGCUUGUAGUAGAUGAUCUAUUCAGCUAGGGGUUACUAGGUGGUACAGUGGACAGGUCACUGCUUCUGAAGUCAGGGUACUAUUAUUGUUCAGAAGUAGUUCAGUGAUGUCCAACUCUUCAUGAUCUCAUUUGAAGUUUUCCUGGCAAAGAUACCUGGACUGGUUUGCCAUUUCCUUUGUAGCUCAUUUUAUAGGUAAGAAAGUAAGGCGAUGAAGGUUAAGUCAUUUGCCUCAACUUGAACCUAACUCUAAUCUCAGACAUUUGUUGUAUGAUCCUGGGCUUAACCUCUGUCCAACUCAGUUUCCUCAACUGUAAAAAUAGUUUUAACAACUGCACCUACCUUUUCAGGAUUGUGAUUAUCAACCUCCCAAGAUUGUGAACUUCAAACGAGAUAACAUUUGUAAAGAUCUUUACAAACCUUAAACAACUCUCUAUAAAUGUUAUCUAUUAGCUAGUACAGUGCUGCAGUCAAGGAGAUCCAAGUCCCAUAUUUGGAACAACACAGAGGAACAAAAUGCAGUAUAGUAAAUGAAUAUCAUAAGGCAAUGAUGGUGAGGUAGAUGGGACUAUUUGCUAUCAAGCCCCACAAAGUAAAAAGAGAAAGAUUAGAGGCCUGGGAGGGAUAGAUACUUAGAGCAACAAGAAACUUAAGUGACCAUAAUAUCUGGUCUUUAGUUUUAUGGACAAGGCUAAUCCAGGUCCUAUGCCAAAUCACAGUCAAUCACUUUUUUUUUUUUUAUCAGAACCCCAACUUUCUACUAACUAAUCUUCCUGGAGCAACUAGGUGGUGUAAUGGAUAGAAUGUCAGGCCUGAGUUCAAAUUUAACCUCAGACAUUCCUUAGCUAUGUGACUUUAGGUGUAUCACUUAACCUUGCUUGUCUCAGUUUUCUCAUCAGUCACAUGAGCUGGAGAAGGAAAUGACAAACAUAUAUCUUUGCCAAUAAAACCCCAAAUGACGUCAAGAGGAGUUGGGCAUGCCUGAAAUGACUGAAUAACAAUAUUCCCACUGAACUUUUCUUAUCUUCUCUGUACAUUUGGUUCCAUGUUUGGGCCCCAAACUACUUAAUACCUCUCCUUCAUACAACUUCAUACUUCAUCCAGCUCAGCCUCCUUUUAUCCCAUGACCUCCUCCUCCUCCAUUGUACUGCUUCUAUUUACAAAUGUAGCACUUCCAUUUUCAUGGCUACAUCCUUAAUCUUGCCAUCUCCAACAAAUUUAGCUCUUCCAUUUUUUAAUAAAUCUCAAAGUUCUUUGUUUACAAUCUACUAUCUUUCUUCCUCUUUCUCUGCCUUGAAACCCCCAACCUACUUUAUGACUUUAUCAUGGUGCAUAAUCCACCCUCGCCUCAGUUUCAAGCUCUUCACCCUUGCACUCAUUACAUUUUCCUCCCUUUCCCAUGAUUACCUCUUAGCAAACCAAUUUUUUCAGAUGGGAAAACUGAGGCAAGCUCUUUGAUAGAGUAAGGGGACCAAAGCUCUGUUCUAUCCUCUUUAGUCUUUAGUCCCGUUACUCUAUCAAAGAGCUUGCCCUGCCAAACUUCAGUUUUGGACCACUCCCAUCAUCAUCUCUCUGCCUAUGUUCCUAUAGGAUAUAUCUCUGACAUAUACUAUGUAGCCCCUAAGCUCUUAGUGUCCCAGAUUAGUUUUAGAGAAAGCAUUAGCUAUUGAUCCUGCCUAAUAAAUUUCAUAGCAGGAUCAUAAAUCUAGAGUUGAGAGAGAUCUUAGGAGGUCAUCUAGUGCAUGCAUGACCUCAGUUUUCCCAUCUAUAAAAAGGGAAGAAUGAGUUAUAUGUAUGGCCUCUGAUAUCUUUCCUGUGAUUUUAUUGUCUAUUGUCUAAAACAAUUGUAUUAUUGUUUAUUGGCGAAUAAUCCACAAAUUCAUUUUUUGCUAUUUCUCCCCUGCAGAGCAAACAAAUUUUGGACUCUUAUUUGGAGUUAUUCUCGGAUCUGUUUUAGUAACUACCGUAUUUGCCAGUGUUGUUUUUAUGCUGUACAGGAAGAGGAAAAACAGAUUGUUCAACCACCAUCGUUUUUUUGAUGAUUCGACUGAGCCAGAAUCUAGAAACUCGAAUGCGGCAUUGCCAUCCCACUCUCCUUAGUGACUUCCUCCUCAGGACCACCAUAUUGAGAAGGACCCAAGCCACACUUCAUCUAACUUUCGCCUGGACUCUACCUCCUUCUCUUCGCCUGCUUCAUUGUUCCUCCUGCCCAUUAUCCCUUUUCCCUAGCCCUCUCUCACCAGCUUUUCAGUACCUCUAUGGUGAGUUGUCUUCCCCAGGUUAGAAUGUAAGCUCUUUGAGGGUAGUGACUGUUUUGUUUGUUCAUGUUUGUACCCGCAGUGCUUAGCAUAUUAGCUGGCACAGAGCAAUUGUUUAAUAAAUACUUUAUCUAGUCAUCCAAUCCAUCGAUUACAUUGCCCCAAAGAGUAUGAAAAUAUUGCUGUCUCUCAGAAACAAUAACACAAAGCUUUGUUCACAUUCCAUGAAUUUCUAAAGACUGGAUCACCACGAUCCUGUUCUCUAUGUUACUGAAGGGAAAGGAUUGUCAAUGUCCUUUUAUCUAUCUUUAUAGAAUCUUACUGUACCCAUUUCCCAGUCACUUGGAAUUAUUAUCUAGAUUCAAGUGAAAGCAAUUGUCAUCUGUACUAUCCAUAGAACGGAAUGGUAAAUUCCCUUAAGUAAUAAAAUAAUGAAGGAUCUUUUUUUUUUUUUAAUAAAAUAUAAUAAGCUGAA